This 254-nucleotide ribosomal RNA is filed under the name uncultured bacterium. Its description in RNAcentral is "partial 16S ribosomal RNA". It matches the Rfam family "Bacterial small subunit ribosomal RNA", at positions 524 to 776 of the family's 1533-position model. The record is from RNAcentral.
UACGGGGGGAGCAAGCGUUGUUCGGAUUUACUGGGCGUAAAGGGCGCGUAGGCGGCCGGCACAAGUCAGUUGUGAAAUCUCCGAGCUUAACUCGGAAAGGUCAACUGAUACUGUGCGGCUAGAGUGCGGAAGGGGCAACUGGAAUUCUCGGUGUAGCGGUGAAAUGCGUAGAUAUCGAGAGGAACACCUGCGGCGAAGGCGGGUUGCUGGGCUGACACUGACGCUGAGGCGCGAAAGCUAGGGGAGCGAACGGG